GAUGAACACUGGCGGCGUGCUUAACACAUGCAAGUCGAACGAGAAGUGAAGACGGAAACCUUCGGGCGGAAGGCUUUAUUUCGAGUGGCGGACGGGUGAGUAACGCGUGGGUAACCUGCCUCAUACAGGGGGAUAACAGUUGGAAACGACUGUUAAUACCGCAUAAGACCACAGCACCGCAUGGUGCGGGGGUAAAAACUCCGGUGGUAUGAGAUGGACCCGCGUUCGAUUAGCCAGUUGGCGGGGUAACGGCCCACCAAAGCGACGAUCGAUAGCCGAUCUGAGAGGAUGACCGGCCACAUUGGGACUGAGACACGGCCCAAACUCCUACGGGAGGCAGCAGUGGGGAAUAUUGCACAAUGGGGGAAACCCUGAUGCAGCGACGCCGCGUGAGUGAAGAAGUAUUUCGGUAUGUAAAGCUCUAUCAGCAGGGAAGAAAAUGACGGUACCUGAGUAAGAAGCCCCGGCUAACUACGUG
This 478-nucleotide ribosomal RNA is filed under the name uncultured bacterium. RNAcentral describes it as "partial 16S ribosomal RNA". It matches the Rfam family "Bacterial small subunit ribosomal RNA", at positions 28 to 507 of the family's 1533-position model. The record is from RNAcentral.